ACCAAGUUUACCUUAGUACGUUAGACUAUAUUUGCGACUAAGAUUAAAGGUAUUUUGGCAAUGUACACAUCUAUAAAAUGGCUUUCAACACCUAAAUGUGAUAUAAUCAAUACGUCGGUAAUUACAUUUCAUCUUUUUACUUUCACAGGACCUGAAAAGUGCAUUUUAAUAUGGGUUUCAAAAUAAAUUUUGUAAUGUAUUUUCUAUAAUACAUUACAAUUGUAAUGAUAGCAUUUUUGAUGGUGAAAUACACACACAGCAGUAGACGCCUACGCGGAUCCGCAUCCAAGUCGCGAAACCCGCGUGACUGUCACAUUCGUUUUGGCACCGCCCAGAGGAUCCGCUCCGCGUCCGGGCAGCGCGGUGAAUUCUACUGUCCCACAAUGGAACCGUGUGGGAUCCGUUCCGCCUCCGGGCAGCGCGGUGAAUUCUACUGUCCGACACUGGAUCCGUGUCGGAUCCGCAGAAGUGGACGCGCCUUUACUGUAAAGGUUGAACUACAACCUCUUGGUGUGCUCUUGCUACGCUGAGACAAGAGUCAUAUCAGUGGAGAUUUUCUUUCCUGGGACACGGUUGCGCUGAACUAUCUGAGCAAGCGAGGACAUUGCUUUUGUGCCAGUUGACUGGUAUGAUGACGUGAUGGUGUACUGGCCCAGCUGAACGUGUGAAACGGGCAGCUGCUAACGAGGAGAAGCAUGAGCCAAACUGGCCAAGAUAUGACGUAAAGGUCGUCAGAACUUGUGACAACUACAAAGACGCCAUCAGGCUAAUGAAUCAGAGCAGGAGGGAUAGCUGCCAGAGAAAUGAUUCAGGAAGCCAAUCCAUCGUUUUGGGGACUCUGAUGAGAGUGAAGAAGAGCCAGAAAAUUCGGCUGGUGUAUCAGUUGGAGCCUCAAGCCCAAACCAAUUACACUGGCAGACUCCACCAUCUCACUGAGUGCCAUGCAGCAGAGUCACUACUCCUCAACCUGGAGGAAACUGUCUAGUACCUGACCAUGGGGCCGGACCCCAACACCCUUCACCACCUCAACUCCCUGCACCUGUAUUUAACAUGAGGAGAGUUACUCAAGGAACGGCAGUCCCUCCUCAACUCCCUCCACCUCCCGCACCGGCCCUCAACAUGAGGCGAACAGAGGAGCCCUCUUCAAGCCUGGCCUACAGACCAACAUGGCGAGGGGGAGGAAUGACCGAUACCAUUCCCUGCUCUGUGGCUGAGGUCCACAUCCUUAGCCUGCUGGAGACCAUUAAACAACAACAAGACCAGCUUGUGGCAAAGGUGAACUACCUCAGCAGCAGGCUGAACAGCAACCCGGGGCCAGAUGUUGAGAUGCCGGACAAUAUCCAGUUUCCCCUAGGACAAUUGGAGGCAGUGGAGGCAUUUGAAAUGUUUUUAAAGGAACCGUCAAAUGGCCCAGCUCGACAGAGCGUGGUGCUGUGAGGAAAAACACUGACACGGUCAGCCACGGACGCAGAGGUCACCAAGCAUGCAAUCAGGUGGUUCAACCUGGCAGCGGAUCGGGCAACGAGGAGACGUGUCCCGCCUCAAGCCACACAAACGGAGUAAUAGGAGAAAUAAGCAAUAAACAAUAUUUUUAUUGAAUUAAUUUUCUGAUAUUUUAGCUGUGCAUUUCAUUGAAGUUUUAGCCUAAUGGAUAAAAUAUUUUAUGUCUGCACCGACCUAGGCCUAUAAAGCACUAAAUUAGGUUUUGACCACAAAAUGAAUGUAAAGCAGCUUAGCCAACGUAGGCUACUAAACAAAAACGGAAUAGAAAGAACUUGUAACUUUCCAUAACUGUAAAUGACAAUUUUAUAUUUCCAUUAAGUAGUGAUUACUUUUGUACAGUGAAUUGAUGUCUUGACUUGAA
Long non-coding RNA from Esox lucius (northern pike), 1864 nucleotides. The record is from Ensembl. Lineage: Eukaryota; Metazoa; Chordata; Actinopteri; Esociformes; Esocidae.